CGGCGGAAUCAAUGCUUGCAGCAGCGCUCGCGAGGGCAGAUCCUCCCGGCUGUGUCCGGGACAGGAGCGGGUCGUCCCGGGGCCGCGGCCCUGCGCAGCCCCGCCGGGUCCUCCCGAGGAUCGCGACCGCCGACCCGCGGAGCCUGCUGGCCGCCGAGGGGAUGCACUCAGGGGGCUCCCAGGACGGAGCCACACCCCUGGGAGCCGCGGAGAGCCGCGGGGGGGGCGCUCGGAGGGAGCGGAGGCCGCCCCAGGAGAGGAGGCAGGGCGCUCCCCGCGGAGGGCGAGCCCGCCCCCAGGGCCCGGCGCCCCGGCCCCCGCCCCGGCCCCGGCCCCCACGCCCCGCCCCGCUCGAGGCGGCGCCGGGAGCCUCGCACUGACCUGCGAGCCCGCGCGCGGCGACCUCCCCUCCCGCGGCGCGCCGGCCCGGCCCGGACUGGAGCUGCGCUGAGCUCCCCGCCCGCGCCCCGCCCGCGCCCCGCCGCGCCCCGCCCCCGCCCCCGCCCCCGCCUCGGCGCCCCGCCCCCGCGCGGCCGUCCGGGGAGCGCAGGGCUCGAGCGCACCGGCUGCGGGAGGGCGGGCGGGAGCCGGGGCCGCGGAGCCGGCGGGACUGCGGGGCCCCCCGCCCCUCGGGCCGCACAGCCAAUGGCAGCGAGCGCGGCCCGCUCCCCGCUCCCCGCUCCCCGCCGCCGCCGCCGCCGCCGCUCCCGCCGGGGCCCGCGGGCGGGGAGGAGCUUGAGCCGGGGUCGGAGGGUCCCGGAGGGCGCGGAGGCGUUGGCGUUGGCGUUGGCGCCGGGAGCCGCGUGUGCGGAAGGCAGCUGUGGUGCCGUUACCUGUGUGUGUGUGGGGGGGGGGGGGGGGCAGCGGGCGGAGGCGUCCACUUUCUGCCAGUUUCUUCCCCUCGGGAACACCUGGGUCCCGCGGAGCCCCGACGCCGGGUCCGGAGCCGCGUCCUGCGGGGAGCGUGGCCGCGCGCGUCCCUCCCUUCACGCCUCAUCUCUCGCCCCUUCCGAAUACUCCGCCAAAUCGAGAGAUGAAAUGAAUCGGACGGCAGUUCCCAGCACUGCCAGGGACCGGGCAAAGGGCCAUAGAAUGAGCGGCAUGGAGAAGAGGGCGGACAGAGACCUGCUUCUCUUCCAACACAUUUCCGUUUGACACGUUCACAUGUCACUUUCAUGAGUUUGUUACAUUUGUCUAUCCCUCCGUGUUUUACCUUAGAUUUAUACUGAGCCUCCUCUCUAAUAGUAAUAUCCAUGAAAUCAUUGGUUUGUUAUAUACCAAUUGUAUUUCAGUGCAAAAUAAGUAAGUAAUAAAUAAGUAAUCUGUUUAGUCUUUUCUUGACAUUUCCUGAGCUUAAUUGCCUAGGACUGCUGUGAAAAAUGACCAUGACCUGUUAAAAAAAAAAAAAACUAAUAUGAGAGACAAAGCUGCUUUCAUCUUUAUUCUUGAUUUCGUAUAUAAAUGAUCUAGAGAAUGUUAAUUGUCAAAUUCACUUACAUAGAGUGUCUUCAAAAGUAGGUCAGUCUCACCACUCAAGUUCCUAGGAGUUCACAGGCAGUUUGGAGAAAUAGUUCUAGCUUCUAAUGAGCAUGAUCAUCCCACUUCCAGUCCUUUUCUGUCUUAUCAGAGAUGGAUAAGAUUGGUUUUGUGUUUUGUUUGUUUGUUUUAACUGUGGUAUUUGGAGUCAGAAUCAUUAAAUUCUGAUCCUGUCACUUAUGAUCUUUGUAACUAAGCCAAUCACUUCAUCUCUCUGGGUCUCAUUUUCCUUAUGUACAAAAUGGCAAUAAUAGUAUCCACAUUAAUAGGUUGUUUUAAAGUUUAAAUACACAUACAUGCAUACACACACACCGAGUUCCUAGCUAUUGUCUGGCAUGUAAUAAGUGCAUAAAAUUAUUAGUUCUGUCUUUCCUUCUUUGCUGUCAUCAAAGCAACAUUUAGAAUUACUUUGUCCAUUCUCUAAUUUCCAUCUAGGUUAUCAGGAAGCUUGUGUUCUGUUCCUAACACUCCCUAGACUAGUUCUCUGCUCCCUUUCCCUGAUUCCUUCAUCUCUGCCCUGUUGUGAUGCUCCCUCUCCAAACUCUAUCCUAUCUCUCAUGACUUAAUCUCUCUUCUUUCCAGCAGUUCUCACAUUCCAUCUGCCACAAUGUCAGAGCUCUGUGCCCUGUAGAGAAAGUGAGAUUUACUCUAAGAAGAGAGUAGGUCAUAAAAAUUCUUAAUACUUUUACAUUUUCAUGAUGUGUCAAUAAGUCCUUUUUGUUUGUUUAAAUCAUGGUCCUCCUGAAAACAUGGAGAAAUUUAUGUUAUCUAAUGCUAUGGAAAAAUUCCUAGAGCCACAAGUACUAUUAAAUUCAACAGACAUUUUUGGAGCAUCUGCUAUAUGCCAAGCAGUGCCCCAGGCACUAGGGAGAUAAAAAUAAAGAAGACAAAGUCUCUGCCCUAAAAUGCUUAUAGUCCAAUCAGGCUGGCAGAUAUAUAAAUACCUAAAUUGAAUAUAAGCGUGCCUUGUAGGGCUUUAAGCCAAUAGUGCCCAUGAAAGAAUUUCCUUUACUUUUUCAAUUAUGAGGUUGUCUUGGACCAGCCAAUCAAAAUUCCCACCCUGCCCACAGUCCCCUGCUGAGUGAGGAUCCAUGUUCUAUGCCUGAGCGGAGCUCAUUACUCAAAAUGGGCUUAAUUGGUGAAGCCAAAAAGACCAUAUACACAUUCUCAUUUUUCCCAUGUCCACUCCAACCCCAAUUGCAGCUAGGGUGAGAGCAUGUAACUUCAAUUUGGCCAAUAAAAUGCCUUCCUUAGACCUAGAAUUGGGAAUUGGUCAUACAAGGGAGCCGAGAUGAGAAGAGCUCUCUAUAGCAGUGACUGCAACAAUGUCCAGUUUCUAGGGCCAGCAAGGGGAGGAGCAAUGAGCUUGGGUUUCCAGUGCCCAGGUGUCAGUUGCAAGUUAUGGCUUCUGCUGCUCAGUGAUCUCACGUGUCUAAUUUGGAGGUAUGAUUGGCUGGGCUUCUGGAUGUUCCCUGUUUCUGUUCAUUCUUUGAGCUUCUCUCUGGUCCAGUAUCCUUUCAUUAAAUUCAAUUUUUGCUUAAACUAGCCAAAUGAAUUCUUAGCUACUAAGAAUACUCUGUAUAUACUCGGUAUAAAGGCUCUACCUCAAUAAGAAGAAUGUUAAUUAACUAAUUUAGGUAACUUCUCCUGCUAGGACAUUCAAAUUGGAAAUAUUACAGUUGGUCAAUUGAAAUCCAGAGCAGAAGCUAAAAACACAACCCAUGGACUAUGAGACAGCAAGGACUAUGUGUAGGCUGGAAUUAUGAGUAAGCAGAAGUUAUGAAUAAGCAAAAGUUAUGAGUUAGCAGAAAUCUGCAUACAUGCAGAGGAGAGGAAGAGGUGGUUGGCUGAGAGCAGCAAGGAAACAGAAGCAAGAGGAACUGAGUCCACAUGAUGGUGAGGGAAUAAGUGAACCCUGCUCUCAAGGGGACUCCAGGCUAACCCAAUCCCUAGAUUUGCCUUGAAUCCUGUACUAUUUUCCAAUUUCCAAACUAGUUUUCCUUUUCUGAUUAACCCUGGCUAUUUCUGAGUUAAUCAGAAAUUUUGAAAUUCCAGUUGUUCUUAUUGUGAUGUAUACCUUUAUAGAAACUCCCUUAUUCCUUGAAGUAACCAGGAUAAGACUCUAUUUUAUAUGACCAAAGCAUUCUGAAGAUUGCAGGCAUGAUAUGGCUAGGACCCAGGAAACAACAGUCAAAUAGUGUAUCUUAAAAGUCACUGGUCUUCCUCUUCAAAAAUGUAUUUUCUUUUUUUCAUAUCUUACUUGAAAUUUCCAAGAGGACCUUCCUCUGGGCUGAAAAAUUAAUGGUUUAUCAGAAGCCCCUGUUUAAAAUGUACUCAAGUUUCUUGUGGGAAUGAAAAGCCAGAGGUGUUUCUCUCUACAUUAGCCAUUAGCAUGUGAGCAGAUCAUAUGAGUUCAUUCUUAAAUUUGAACUCUUAAGGGCCUGAUACUUAGGGGUUCAGCUAGGUAUAGAGCAG
RNAcentral lists this long non-coding RNA (4011 nucleotides) under Canis lupus familiaris (dog). RNAcentral describes it as "lncRNA (ENSCAFG00000059393.1)". Lineage: Eukaryota; Metazoa; Chordata; Mammalia; Carnivora; Canidae. The record is from RNAcentral.